Molecule: non-coding RNA, 31 nt
Filed under: Rattus norvegicus (Norway rat)
Lineage: Eukaryota; Metazoa; Chordata; Mammalia; Rodentia; Muridae
Source: RNAcentral
UAAUUGGGUGACUCUUUGGAAAAUAGUAGGU